Molecule: long non-coding RNA, 1093 nt
Organism: Oncorhynchus tshawytscha (Chinook salmon)
Lineage: Eukaryota; Metazoa; Chordata; Actinopteri; Salmoniformes; Salmonidae
Exons: 3
Source: RefSeq, a predicted model, not a curated record
CAGAGCUGAGAGAGGCCCAGGAUUGGGAGAGCGGAGGGAGAGAGAGAGGAGAGAGGGAGAGUCAGCCACACAGACACAAUAGAUAGCCGUGGCUUUGACAAUGCCUUCCCCAAACGCCAGAACAUUUGCUCCCUCUCCAUGACACCCGCAUUCAGCCAGACAGACUACGCUGGACACAAACAAAGUUGCGGCAUAAGGACUUUCUUGUCCCCCUCCCUCUCUUUUCACUCACAAGUAUAACAGAGCCUAUAGGACAUGGGAAACACAGGAGAACAAAGGUAGGGUGCACCCAAUAGCACCUCCGCUACGCUACCCGACAGAACAGACCCACUUCUCUUUUUCUUAAACAAUCGCAGCUUGGCUGUGCACUAUGGGCAGUAACAAUUCCCUUAGUAAGAAACAGACAGUUCUGCCCACUCCACAAUAUAUUGCAGCUACAGGGGCUGUGCAUACAGGUGUAGGAUCUUAACUUGAUCACCUUAUUGCAGGAUAACUUUCCUGCAUAGCAGGAAAUGUAAGACAUGUAGUGUAUUUUGUCAUUUCAGACUUGAUUUUCCCUUACAAAAAAUUAAUCAACCCCUACAAAAAUGUCCAUUAAUUAUAAUUCCCAUAAUAAUUUCCAUUGCCUGUAGCUGCAGGAGUAUUUUCCUGACGUAGCAAACUGGCUCAAAUUAAGAUCCUACAUCUGUAGUUUCAUACAGACAGACCCAGGCACGAAAAAAGCUUGUUUUUAACGGUUCAGCAGAGAGAGGAAGCCAGGAGGAAACGUGCAACAAAGCAGGCAGAGGAGGAACUUUUCUAGUGAACUUAAUAAGGCAAAUACUGUAUGUGGCAAUGGAGGAGAGACUAUGGAGUCUUGGCAUUUACUGUCUCUCAAAGACUGGGAUGUAGGAUUUGAUUAGAAAACUAUAAUACAUACAAAUAUACAGUAGCCAAUUGAAAACUACCUACCUGAUCAUCAUGUUCAACCUAUAAUUGAAUUAAACAUAAAUAGCUUAUAAAUAGUAUAUCUUAUAUGUUAAAUACAGUACCAGUCAAAAUUUAGACACACCUAAUUUUUGAAAAUAUUUUCUAUGUUGUAGAAUAAAAGUGA